UCAUGCGACUGACCGCCAUUUGGAUAGACGGUUCUAGAAUAUCAUUCAUUUGUAUCUCUCGCUCCUUCCGUCGACAGCCUGUCUUCUCCAUAUCUAUUUAUCUCGUGAUAUACACCAUAUUAAUGUGUUUUGCGUUUUUCACGCGAGAGACUUACAUACGCACACGCUCGCUAUCCCAGAGAAUUUUCUUAAGCGAGAACAUAAUUUAGGAACGCGUUUACACGCGUCGCUAAUUACCGCACCACGUUCGUGCUACAAAUUAGCAUCCUCCUCAGAGUUCGAGCGAACUUUUGCGAAAACGAUUAUCAUUCGUGCUUGUGGGUGACACCGCGAACGCACUUAGUGGUUCUCAACUUUUUCCGUCCUGUUUCCUGGUGUCCCGCUGUUGUCGCGUGAAUCUUUUAUACGUGUUCGUGCAACCCGCAUCCUUUGAUUGAUUUGAUAUAUCGCUUGCUUCUCUUACAAUACAAUGUUUUAGUGUUCACAACUAAUAUAACGAACUUGAUUAAUUUUAAAAGUUUGUCGAUCUUUUCCAUCUAUCCUCAAUUUUUUAAUUAGUUUUAGUCGUUUCUUUUACCAUUUUCUAAUUAAAAAAAAAAAAAAAAAAAAAAAAAAAAAAAAAAAAAAAAAAAAAAAAAAAAAAAAAAAAAAAAAGAGAGAAAGAAAGAAGAAAUGAAAACAUAAAGCAUCACAGAGACACAUACAGUGUGACAGAGAUGACAUUAUACAGUUCUAAAUAGAGAUACGCUACGUACACGCUACACGUGGUACGUUUGUCGCGUGACGAGAUGGUCCAAAAAGCUGCAGGUUUGUUUAGAGGACUUCGAUAUAGAGAAUCGGGGGUCAGCUCGUCCCUGCAACAAGUCGUACCGGUACAUAACGUAGGAACAUUAUACAUACGUUUUCUUUCUUUUCUUUUUCAAGAAUAUUAUUACUUAUAAAUACAUCAUUAUAUAUAUAUGAAGAAAGAACGAGAGCGUGAGCGAGAGAAUUUUGACGAAUGAAUAGGAGAUACUACUCUAAAUGAUGGAGAGAGCUGUUUUUAUAUAGUUUUAAUUGUGAAGAGAGGUAAAUUAAUGCGAGGAUUCAUGAACCAAUAUCUACGCACUUAAUUACCAACUAGCCGGCGAAUAUGAAGCCUCCUUUUCCCCCCUUCUGUCUACGAGAAAGUAUGUGGGUCCUGAUGCUGUGGGAUUACAAACAAAAAAGAACUCACAUAUUCAUUCAUCCGUUUUUAAUUAGUCGUUCUCAUACGAAUAUUCUAUAUAUAUUAUAUAUUAAUAUAUAUAAUAUAUAUAUAUAUGUAUAAAUACAUUAUAUAUAUAUAUAUUAUAUAUAGAGAGAGGUCGUUCUUUUUUCUUUUUUUUUUUUUUUUUGUCCGAUGGAAAUGGCGCCAAAAUACCUUCGUUUUACAAUGACGAAAAAGAAGCAAACUGAGAAAGAAAAAGCCACAUAAUGAAAAUUGAAGAUGGUGAAAACAGCAACAUUAAUAUUAUAAUUAAUAAUAAUUAUAAUAAAUACAAUAUUUGUACAAUAAUCAACGGUGCUGUGGUGGAUGCUGUAGGUCUAAAUCUGCGAUACCCUGUUAACCUAUCCCUGACCUAUUUGUAAACAAUUCCUGAACGUAUAAGUGAACGAACAAGAAAUUUCGCGGGUGCAUACUUUCUAAAAUUAUAACGAUGCCGAUACAUUUCGUUUUUUAUUUCCUUCGAUUUAAUGUUCCGAUUCAGGAGGUGAUGAUGAUGAUGAUGAUGAUGAUGAUGAUGAUGAUGAUGAUGAUGAUGAUGAUGAUGAUGUUGGCGAGGAUGAUGAUAAUGAUGAUGAUGAUGAUUGAUGAUGAUGAUGAUGAUUGAUGAUGAUGAUAAUGGUAAUGAUGAUGAUGUGUAUAUAUAUGUAUAUAUGAUAUAUAUACAUAUAUAUAUACUCACACAUACACACACAUACACACACACACACACAUAUAUAUAUAUAUGCAUAUAUGUAUAUAUAUAUAUAAUGAAUUCUUGAUGAGUUCCUAAUGCCAAAUAUAACACAUAUUGUGAUUAUUA
Long non-coding RNA from Bombus huntii, 2048 nucleotides. RefSeq lists it as uncharacterized. Lineage: Eukaryota; Metazoa; Arthropoda; Insecta; Hymenoptera; Apidae. The transcript is spliced from 2 exons. The record is from RefSeq and is a predicted model, not a curated record.